RNAcentral lists this ribosomal RNA (497 nucleotides) under uncultured bacterium. RNAcentral describes it as "partial 16S ribosomal RNA". It matches the Rfam family "Bacterial small subunit ribosomal RNA", at positions 28 to 507 of the family's 1533-position model. The record is from RNAcentral.
GAUGAACGCUGGCGGCGUGCCUAAUACAUGCAAGUCGAGCGAACGGACGAGAAGCUUGCUUCUCUGAUGUUAGCGGCGGACGGGUGAGUAACACGUGGAUAACCUACCUAUAAGACUGGGAUAACUUCGGGAAACCGGAGCUAAUACCGGAUAAUAUUUUGAACCGCAUGGUUCAAAAGUGAAAGACGGUCUUGCUGUCACUUAUAGAUGGAUCCGCGCUGCAUUAGCUAGUUGGUAAGGUAACGGCUUACCAAGGCAACGAUGCACAGCCGACCUGAGAGGGUGAUCGGCCACACUGGAACUGAGACACGGUCCAGACUCCUACGGGAGGCAGCAGUAGGGAAUCUUCCGCAAUGGGCGAAAGCCUGACGGAGCAACGCCGCGUGAGUGAUGAAGGUCUUCGGAUCGUAAAACUCUGUUAUUAGGGAAGAACAUAUGUGUAAGUAACUGUGCACAUCUUGACGGUACCUAAUCAGAAAGCCACGGCUAACUACGUG